This 73-nucleotide transfer RNA is filed under the name Cricetulus griseus (Chinese hamster). It matches the Rfam family "tRNA". From Rfam's summary of the family: Transfer RNA (tRNA) molecules are approximately 80 nucleotides in length. Their secondary structure includes four short double-helical elements and three loops (D, anti-codon, and T loops). Lineage: Eukaryota; Metazoa; Chordata; Mammalia; Rodentia; Cricetidae. The record is from Rfam by way of RNAcentral.
GCCUAUCUAGCUCAGUCAGUAGAGCAUGAGACUCUUAAUCUCAGGGUCUUGGGUUUGUGCCUCACGUUGGGUG